Molecule: ribosomal RNA, 331 nt
Filed under: uncultured bacterium
Lineage: Bacteria
Description: bacterial SSU rRNA
Rfam family: Bacterial small subunit ribosomal RNA
Source: RNAcentral
AACGAACGCUGGCGGCGUGGAUAAGACAUGCAAGUCGAACGGGAAUUCGCUGGUAGCAAUAUUAGUGGAUUCUAGUGGCGAAAGGGUGCGUAACACGUAGCUACCUACCUCGAAGUUGGGGAUAGCUCGCCGAAAGGCGAAUUAAUACCGAAUGUGAUCGUGAGAUCAAAGCUGGGGAUCGUAAGACCUGGCGCUUUGAGAUGGGGCUGCGGCCUAUCAGCUAGUGGCGGGGUAACGGCCCACCAAGGCUUAGACGGGUAGCUGUCUGAGGGACGACCAGCCACACUGGAACUGAGACACGGUCCAGACACCUACGGGUGGCAGCAGUCGA